UGUGUCAGUGCGUGCGUGUGUGCGUGCGCGCGAGAGGGGGGCGCGAACAUUUUUCUUGUAAAACAAAGGGGGGCCUAGCAAAAAAAGUUUGGGAACCACUGUGCUAAAGGAUGCUGGAUACAGAGGUGCCAUGUGACAGAGAGAGAAUGGAGGCCAGGAGGGGAGGGAGGUGGUGAGCGUCCAGGCAUGAGCUCUGGAGAAACCAGAUUGUCACGGCCCGUGGCUCGGCAUCCUGGGAGCUGUGGGAGGCUGCGGUGGCCACGCCCUCGGGCUGGGCCGCCUCCAAACCACCUGCGUCUCAUCUAAGGCAAUCACCGGAGGACUACUUCAGCCAGCUCGGGCGGCUUCUCCUCGCCAGUCUGUAAGUCUCCUUCCAGUGUGACCAGCAUUCAGCGUGGAAGCCGGUGGCCUGCCUGUCCUCCUGCCUGACUGCCUCCCUCCCUCCCUAAGGAUUCUCUCCCGGGCAUCACUCCCCUCCUAGCUCCACAGUCCUGCUCUACCUUUUCCCCACGGUCCCGAUUACGGCGCUCCUGGGCUCCACGCUCCUCGUUUCCCCCCGUGGCAUGAGCCUUAGUUUUCGUUUCCAAGCUUUGUUAAAAGAUUCCUCAGUUAAAUAAACACUUGUACAUAGUUCUGAGCUGCGGUGUGCUGAGUCUGCUUUGGGGUCCUGCUACCUGAACGCUCCGUGUUUUGUGACGCAGAUGUUGAGAAACUCAGAUGAGCGACUGGUUGUCAUAGCGAUGGUUGAGAACCUCUGACCCCUCCUGAGUUCAUGCUGUGACUGUUACACUCUGGUUUCCUUUCUUGCAUUCAUGCAGGCUGCAGGAUACAGACUGAGUCAUUUGUCAACAUUUCAAAUGUGUCACGAUUUGAAGUGAUGAAAAUGUAGAAACUGCAAAGCUGAACGCUCUCACUCUGUGACAGCUGUGACAGGAUCCAACGUAGAGGUGGAAAACCAGAGGAUGUUAAACAAACAAUAAACAAAUGAGAGAACUUUUUUUUUUAACUUCAUAAAAAAGAAGAAAAAAAACUUAAAACCUGAGUUUGUGUCCAAAUUGGGGUCAGCCUACAUCUGACUUUUAUCAGAAAGCACUUGCUUCCAUGUUGCCUCAGUCUGCAUGUCCUCCUUCACCACAGUCAUGCACUUUGUCUUUGGUCUCCUCUGUGUUCAGCAUCAUUUGUCUGACAUCUCUCUCUGUGUGUCCAAACCAUCUCUAGAGAGGAUGAUCAUUUCUGACCCUGUCAAAAAUCCCAGUAUAAAUUGUAGCAUUAAGCACCACAGUCAGAGCAAUUUGAGGAUUUUUUUCUGCAUUUGGAGCCUAUUUAUUUACAGAGAUAAUGAGCUGAAGAGAAACUUUACAUUCUUCAUGAGACACUAAAACUUCUGAAGCCUUUUCAGGCAAAGCAUGAAUAAAAAAGCAUUUGUCCUCCACUUCUACCCAAACAAUCUCCUCUGCUCUGCUUCUGUUUGUCCAUCUGUGCAACCGAUGUUUAAAGAAACAUGUUGGACAGACUGGAUAAGGCACAUUUAGAGAACACAUUUAAAACAAGACAACAAAAUAGUUUUUCAUGUUACUAAGAUUAAGAACUGUAUUUUAUGUAUGAGAGAAGAAGAAAACGUGUAAACAUGAAAAAACAAACAAACAACAAAACAGUUUUCCUCUUUGAAGCCAAGUUUCUAAAGAAGCUUUGGAGGAACCAUUUGAACCAGUUUGGUCCAUUAUUAAAACGGACGUUUAUUUGCCAGUCAUUCAACAUCACCACUUGUGUAUAACUCUGCUGAUUUUAUUCCCUUUGUGUCCAGGCUGAGAUUCCAGGUGUCUCCCUCAGCUCAUUUACUCCAAAUCAGAAGCAUCAGAUUUGUGGAGCGUGGAGACGCUCUGCCUGCCAGACACAGCUCAGGGCAAAGAAACAUGUCUCUCCUCCACAAUAUACAGGCCUGUAUCAUUUACUGUCUGUAUUUUAAUGUAGAAAUGAUCAAGUGUGAUCAAACUUUUCAAAUGAAAAAUAAUAUUUAAUGUCAAACAUUAACUAUUUAUUUUUUGUUACAUUUUAAAAGUUCAAACCUCAAAGACAUUAAGUUUACGAUCACAUAUGAUCAAGAAAAUCAACAAUUUUCACGUUUCAGAAACUGGAACCAGCUUUAAAUGUGACUAAAAUAACGAUAAAACAAUCAAUUCUCUGAUCAUUGACUAACUGAUGAAUCACUGCAUUUGACAACCCGCUACAGCAACUCCAGAAUAAAAGCACUAACCAGACCGAUGAAAGGUUUCACACAUGCUGAAUAUGAAGAGUAGUAGAAUUUAAACUCACAUGAUUA
Molecule: long non-coding RNA, 2320 nt
Organism: Oreochromis niloticus (Nile tilapia)
Lineage: Eukaryota; Metazoa; Chordata; Actinopteri; Cichliformes; Cichlidae
Exons: 3
Source: RefSeq, a predicted model, not a curated record